RNAcentral lists this unclassified non-coding RNA (273 nucleotides) under uncultured Microascales. RNAcentral describes it as "sequence contains ITS2". The record is from RNAcentral. Lineage: Eukaryota; Fungi; Ascomycota; Sordariomycetes; Microascales.
AACGCACAUUGCGCCCGGCAGUAAUCUGCCGGGCAUGCCUGUCCGAGCGUCAUUUCAGCCCUCGAACCACUAUUCACGUAGCUGGAUCGGUGUUGGGACACUACGGUGGAAUACCCGUAGGCCCCUAAAUGAAGUGGCGGUCCCGCCGCGGCGCCCCCAUGCGUAGUAACUUUCAGUCUCGCAUCGGGUCCCGGCGGAGGCCUGCCGUCAAGCCUAUUUUAUCUUUACAGAUGGUUUGACCUCGGAUCAGGUAGGGUUACCCGCUGAACUUAA